This 251-nucleotide ribosomal RNA is filed under the name uncultured prokaryote. RNAcentral describes it as "partial 16S rRNA". It matches the Rfam family "Bacterial small subunit ribosomal RNA", at positions 525 to 775 of the family's 1533-position model. The record is from RNAcentral.
ACGGAGGGUGCGAGCGUUAAUCGGAAUCACUGGGCGUAAAGCGCACGUAGGCGGUGUCGUAAGUCGGAUGUGAAAGCCCUCGGCUCAACCGGGGAACUGCAUUCGAUACUGCGACGCUUGAGUGCCGGAGAGGGGGGCGGAAUUCCAGGUGUAGCAGUGAAAUCCGUAGAUAUCUGGCGGAACACCAGUCGUGAAGGCGGCCCACUGGAUGACAACUGACGCUCAGGUGCGAAAGCGUGGGGAUCAAACAG